UAAGAAUAUUGCUCAAUGGAGAAAUCCUGAAGCAGCAACGCCGCGUGGAGGAUGAAGGGUUUUUAACUUGUGAACUCCUGUAAAGAAGGAAAAAAUUCCCAUUAGAUGGGAAAUGAUGGUACUUCUGGAGUAAGCCCCGGCUAACUACGUGCCAGCAGCCGCGGUAAUACGUAGGGGGCAAGCGUUGUCCGGAUUUACUGGGUGUAAAGGGUGCUCAGGCGGAUUUGUAAGUCAGAGGUGAAAUCUCACAGCUUAACUGUGAAACUGCCUUUGAUACUGCAAGCCUAGAGUAUGGAAAGAGAGUGAUGGAAUAUCUGGUGUAGCAGUGAAAUGCGUAGAUAUCAGAUAGAACACCAAUGGCGAAGGCAGUCACUUGGUCCAUAACUGACGCUAAAGCACGAAAGCGUGGGUAGCAAACAGGAUUAGAUACCCUGGUAGUCCACGCCCUAAACGAUGAAUACUAGAUGUUGGCUUCGCAUGAAGUCAGUAUCUGAGCUAACGCAUUAAGUAUUCCACCUGGGAAGU
RNAcentral lists this ribosomal RNA (525 nucleotides) under uncultured bacterium. RNAcentral describes it as "partial 16S ribosomal RNA". It matches the Rfam family "Bacterial small subunit ribosomal RNA", at positions 356 to 881 of the family's 1533-position model. The record is from RNAcentral.